This 2252-nucleotide long non-coding RNA is filed under the name Homo sapiens (human). RNAcentral describes it as "HSALNT0135880". Lineage: Eukaryota; Metazoa; Chordata; Mammalia; Primates; Hominidae. The record is from RNAcentral.
UUACUGAGCUGGGAGCAGUGAGUUCUCAUCAAGCAGCCAGUGGACUCUCAUCCAUCUCUUCUGACACAAUCCAUUUGCUACUGGAGAAGUAAAUCCUACCAUCAACUUCAAGAAUGUUCCAGAGACACAUAUAUAACAUAUAUAACAGUAAUUCCAUUACCCCUGGCCAAUGACUGAUUCGGGAAUAGGCCAUAGGCUAACGAGAACCAAAAAGAGGUUUACUAGGCGCUUCUGGGGUGGUUAUCCUUUCAGGGCCAGCUUGUCGAGUUAGCUUCUGGAAAUGAGCCUCUCUCUCUGGAUGACUUCAUAUGUGGAUAUGAGGUCUGGAAUGGGUGUAACCAUCUUGCUACCAUCUUGAGAAUGAAGUCAACACGAACAACAGACAGGAAGAUCAAGUGAAUGUUCAGAGUAGGAGCCACUGCAAGUCACUGAAAUUCAUCCCCUUUCUGGACUUAAUGUUUGGUUACCAAACACAUUUAUUUACUACUGGAGCUGCCUAAAACAUUAGGAUGCUGAUUAUGGGGCCUCUACGAAGUGAAUUCCACCCAAGAACACCAGGCGGAAAAAUCCAUUCCUGACUGCAGUGGUGAAGUGGAUGCAUGGAAUCCCCAGCAAGGUCCUGGCAGGGCUGGGAAUAAUAACAAACCAGGACUGCAUCAGGUUACCAGGAAGGAGAUGAUCUUGCAGAUUGGCAGGGAAAAACGCAGGAUGAGCCUGCCAAAUCGUGAGUGUCACUGAAGGAUGUAAAAUACUCCAUGACUUUGAUAAUGGGAAGAAAUGGCUUGAUGCGAACUCUAACUGCCAGCCCAGCAGAGGGAGUGACAGCUGAUCCAUUAGGCCUUCUAGUUUCCAGCCCUGCUGGCCACGAAAGCCCCUGGAUGCUGAGAGGCAGCGACUUGAAUUCUAGCUACAGAGGCUUCAGAGAAUGGGGAGUGAUGUGACCGAGGACAGAAACCCUCAGAAGUGGACAACCUCAAGUCAACUGCAACCCCCACUCAUCUUUGCUAUGACCCACCCUAGAGCUUAGAAACUAUAUGUGCAAGGCUCGCUGUUUACAGUGGGGAACAAGAAGAAGGAUUGAAAAAGGGGCAGGAAAAAUCAAAACCCACUCUCAACACUCUAACCUCCAUUCUAGCUAUUCAUUUCUGCUUCCCUUUUAAUCUUUUGGAUAGUUCAACAUUUUUGGUUUGGGAGUCUUAUUCACCUUCCAGGUAAGCUUAACUCAUCUCUCUGUUGUUCGAUCCAAACUUCUUACCUUUUUUAUUUUCCCCACAGUCCUGAAGUUAACUUCCCUUUAGCCAUCCACCAUCUCAGGGUCAUAUCAGGAUUUCAAAUCCCCAUCACGUCCCUUGGCAGUGACCUCAGAGCCCAAGGCAAACUCACACACAUGGAGAGGUUAGAGAUCAUUGCUGAGCCUGUGAAGCCAGGAGCGUAUGGGUGAACUGGGGAAUGUGAACAAGAGGGGAUGAAGAAUGGAGGAUGGAAGAUAAAGGAAACCAUUUAGGAGACAGCAUUGGCUCUUAUCCUGUAAAAGAAGGCUGACCUAGAGUGGGGCCUUGGAGCACCAGGAAAUUUCAUGGGCUGAGGCUGAGCAAAGAAUUAUUAUGUUCUCCAGGCUGGUGUGGUUUGGAGAACCAGCAGUUGUCGGGGAAGAUUCUACAGGCAAAGUCUCUUUAAACAGGGUAGCAUCCAUAUUUAAUAAGUUUUUAUUGAAUUUCCAUGAGGUGCAGGGCCCCAUGCUGGGCACCAUGUUGAACAUGACAGACAAGGUCACUAUUCUCAUGGAGCUUACAUUUCAGUGAAGAAGACAGACAAUUUCACAAGCAGCUACAAAUGUGACACAUGUUACCGAACAGAAGAUACCAAAGACUGUUGGAGCAUCUAAUGUUGGAAGAACAUCUUGACCUUACCAGAAAAACAGUAAUAAACUUCAGAAUGUCUCACCAGUGAAAGCGUGGGUCCAAUAACCAAAGGAUUUGAACAUCAACACAUCACACAGUCUAACACUGCCAGAGGCCAGGAUGGCUUUGACUAACAGAUAGCCCUGUCUGGAUUGGCCUUGUCCACAUUCAAGGUGUUACCUGCAUGGUAUGCAAUUUCUACCUAGGAUACCUUGGCCUGAUACCAGUAUGUUCCCACUCCCAAGGUGCACUUGCAUCUGAUUCAUCUCAGAGCAAUAUCCUCCUAAGGGUAGAUGCUGCAGGAAAUCAAACAUCUACAAAUAAUUUUUUAAAAAAUCAAUAUUAACCAUG